GAAGAGAAGGGAAAACUGAAGUUCCCCAUUGUUCCCGUUUGAGAAAACUGGGAUUUAGGAAACCAUGUGAUUCGACGUGAGCUAGAGACUUUGGGGGAUGUCAGGAGGGGAUCUAUACAUUAACCUCCACAGGUAGGAUAUACAGGUGACCAUCAGGAGGAGAGGUGGCCUAAAGUGGCUGUCUCCAGCAAGUGGGAGAUCUGGGCCUUGCUGGAUGAAGAGGAGGAGAAGGAAGCCUUGGUGCAGAGUCUCAGAAGGAAGAUUUUCAUGUUAGAGGCACCGUCAGCAGUCUGUCACCAUAGAAAGACAGACAGAGGCAGAGGAGAGAGAAGUUUCCCCUCGCAUGUUCUACUGAGGCUCCCCAGCUCAGGAGGCAGUGAUGAGAGCUUUCUGCAGCAAGGCCUCCCGGAGAAGAGCCUGUCUCUCUUCCCUGGUGGAGCAGGAGUGGCCCUGUCAGGAGCUCCCGCUGCAUCUGGCACAGAGCAGGCACUCCAUAAAGGCCAUGUGAGUGAAUGAAUGGAUGAAUGAGAAAAAGAAACAGAGAUGUAUCCUUUAAGGGGAAACCUGCCUCCGAGAACCUGAUUCAGGAUAUCCUCUCCAGAGAUCGCUUUUGGGUGCUGCUUCUCCUCCUGCUGUCCUCAGUGCUACUAAGUAAGGAGUUCCUCGAGAUGGGUGCCACCUGCCCAGCCUCCUGAAGAUUUCUUCAUUGCUGUUCGCCUGCGGCUUUUCUGAUAAAGACAUGUUGCCAGCAAUGAAUGGCUUGUCCCCAGAUCUGACACUUGCCCUGGACUUCUUCCUCCUACCUCCUUCCUUAUACUGGCCCACUAGUAAGCCCCCAAGCACUGACCAACCCAGGACAAGUGGUUUGCCCAGUUACCAUAGAUGCAUCAUGGGCAGUCCAGGCUGACUUUUCUUCAUCAGGGAAUUUCAUUUUGCCAACAGAGCUGGACUGGGAAGAGACUGGAUCAAGGGUUUGGGCUGUGUCUCCCCAGGCUACCAUCUUGGGAGGGCCAGUGGCAGAUGCCAGGAGCUGGCUGGCAUCAGGGUGCAAUCUGGUAGCCACAGAAGAGACCCUCAUCCUUGGAGGGUCUGUGAGCCCACAGACAGCUGCUUGGCUUGGCUUGACUUGGCUGGGAGCAUUUCAGCAGAGAUGAGCGGGAAAUGGAUGGCUGGUUGAGAGCAGACAGCGAGAGGGGAAAAAAGGGUCUUCAGAGCUGAAAUGAGAUAUGUGUGAGCCCCUAUCUACAAAAGGGCAAGACUGGCUUUGGACAAUGUUGCCGGCAAACUUGAAUCAAGUUUCAUUUUUGCCUGAAGCUCCAGGGGAAGAUGAGGGUGGAAGACACCUGCCAGCGCUGCUCUCCACGUGAAAGGGAAGAUGAAAAGGAGCAAAUGGCCGGGAGGGCCAGGUGGAUGCGGUAAUGAGACAGAGGAUGUGAGGUCAGGAUGUGAGAGGGAAAGUCACGGCUGGGGAUGGCUGGGGACGGGGUGCUGCCAAGGAUGGGAACUAUGGCAGCAGUUCUCGGACUUUUCCAUGUGUGUGCUCCUGGCCCACUGCCCUCUACGUGGAUUCGUGAGAUCAAGAAGCAAAAGUAAGGGAAGAAGGACUUUUCAGCAGAAAUUUCCCAUAAACAAAGACUUGCUCCCACCAGCAGAGGUGCAGCAGGGGGGGGGCACUUGCCACUCCUCCCUGCCUCAGAACCAUGACUUUCUCACUCAGAGAUGUCCAUCUGUCCAGCCAUUUCGCCAAGCCCUGGAGCCCCAUGCUGAUUUCCUUUGGAAGAGCCCCAGCUCCUGGGGUGACCUCAGCAGCAGCAGGGCCCACGGAUGGCUCCAAUUCCAAACUUCCCAUCCUGGGCAAGGAUCCACCUGGUCUGUGGAAGUUAAAAUAACACACUGGCUGUUUAUGAG
Balaenoptera ricei (Rice's whale) is the source of this 1908-nucleotide long non-coding RNA. RefSeq lists it as uncharacterized. The record is from RefSeq and is a predicted model, not a curated record. The transcript has 5 exons. NCBI's taxonomy places the organism in Eukaryota, Metazoa, Chordata, Mammalia, Artiodactyla, Balaenopteridae.